This 253-nucleotide ribosomal RNA is filed under the name uncultured bacterium. RNAcentral's name for it is "partial 16S ribosomal RNA". It matches the Rfam family "Bacterial small subunit ribosomal RNA", at positions 524 to 776 of the family's 1533-position model. The record is from RNAcentral.
UACGGAGGGUGCGAGCGUUGUCCGGAAUCACUGGGCGUAAAGGGCGCGUAGGUGGCGCGGGCAGUCAACGGUGAAAGUUCGGGGCUCAACCCUGAAUCGGCCGUCGAUACUCCCGUGCUCGAGCACUGUAGAGGCAGGUGGAAUUCCGGGUGUAGCGGUGGAAUGCGUAGAGAUCCGGAAGAACACCGGUGGCGAAGGCGGCCUGCUGGGCAGUAGCUGACGCUGAUGCGCGACAGCGUGGGGAGCAAACAGG